CUGCGCUCAACUAGUCCAUUUUGCUUAUAGGCACCUUCUUACCCGAGUGAAAUGAUCCAGAAGUGUUUCAGUGGUUACCAUCAUAAGAGCUGUUUAAAUUCUCUAAAUGUUAAGGAAUGGAGCGUCAAUGCUUCUAAUAUCUCCUUUAGCAGAGGAAACCUCGGACGAUCCUUAUUGAAAGGAAAAAGGAAACUACCACCUGUCAGAGCACAGCCUACAGCACAGAGUACCAUACUCUUUAUCAUCCUGAAUCCUACACAUUGGACACUCCUGCACUCUGAAGUGUUUUUCCGUUGACACAUCAGGCAACAUGUAGCCCGUCUUUCAGGCUGCUGGGAUCUCCAUGUGGCUGGCCAUCAGUGUGGGUCGGGGUCCUGCAUACUGCGGCUGGCCUGAGCCGCGCCGUCCGUUC
Non-coding RNA from Paralichthys olivaceus (Japanese flounder), 412 nucleotides. Lineage: Eukaryota; Metazoa; Chordata; Actinopteri; Pleuronectiformes; Paralichthyidae. The record is from RefSeq and is a predicted model, not a curated record.